UUCCCCAGAAAUGGGCAAAGGGAUACCUUGCUGGUUGUGCUGUUCUUACAUCAGUCAGGGCAGAGCAGACGGCAGCCCUUUGCUCAUCCUAGCUUGAUGCCUGGCUUGGUGGCCAAAGCUGUUUUAUGCCUAGGAAACAUAA
This is a small nucleolar RNA of Meriones unguiculatus (Mongolian gerbil), 142 nucleotides long. RefSeq annotates it as small nucleolar RNA SNORA48. The record is from RefSeq and is a predicted model, not a curated record. The transcript has a single exon. NCBI's taxonomy places the organism in Eukaryota, Metazoa, Chordata, Mammalia, Rodentia, Muridae.